RNAcentral lists this unclassified non-coding RNA (391 nucleotides) under soil metagenome. RNAcentral describes it as "partial contains 5.8S ribosomal RNA, internal transcribed spacer 2, and large subunit ribosomal RNA". The stretch from base 1 to 122 matches the Rfam family "5.8S ribosomal RNA", at positions 35 to 154 of the family's 154-position model. The record is from RNAcentral.
GAUGAAGAACGUAGCGAAAUGCGAUACUUGUUGUGAAUUGCAGAAUCCCGUGAACCAUCGAGUCUUUGAACGCAAGUUGCGCCCGAAGCCAUUAGGCCGAGGGCACGCCUGCCUGGGCGUCACACGUCGUUGCCCCCCCAUCUACUCCUUCGGGAUUGCGGGGGGCGGAUGAUGGCCUCCCGUGCGCCACGCCGCGCGGUUGGCAUAAAUGCCAAGUCCUCGGCGACGCACGCCACGACAAUCGGUGGUUGCGAAACCUCGGUUGCCCGUCGUGUGCGGUCGUCGCGCAUCGAGGGCUCGAAAAAAUUGCCGGGUUCCGGCUCGGCUUUCAACGCGACCCCAGGUCAGGCGGGGUUACCCGCUGAAUUUAAGCAUAUCAAUAAGCGGAGGA